Long non-coding RNA from Xenopus laevis (African clawed frog), 528 nucleotides. RefSeq lists it as uncharacterized. The record is from RefSeq and is a predicted model, not a curated record. Lineage: Eukaryota; Metazoa; Chordata; Amphibia; Anura; Pipidae. The transcript has 2 exons.
GCCCAGGUUGGAUCCUUCAGUUUAUUGUGUCCUUCGCUAUGUGAAGCUGCCAAGCCCCUCUGUCUGUGUGGCAACCAGCCCACGAGGAACAUCGCCCAGGAAAAUAGUGAACAGAUGUCAUGCUAGGAGGUACCAACACUUGCUCAUCGUUUAUUUAACACUGGGUUAAAAGGAAUGCAUCGCAUUUGCCUUACAGUAUUAGUUCCAGUUGCAGAUAUGACUUUUCAUGCUGAAUGCACCCAAUAUUUUGGAUAUUACAGGAAACAUUGCUUAGCUAUAUCUCGGGCAAGACACAGACAUCGGUUCCAUGAGGAGUGAUAGAUGCACAGAAGAACACUGGAUGAUUUAUUGCUCAUUUCAGAUAUUGUGACGUUAUUUUACCCAUGACUUGUUUUUCUUCAAAUAAAUGGACAUUUGGGGAAUUUUAGCAGUCACUGCUCAGAUUUGGUUUAUAAAAAGAAAUGAAUUCAUUGUUAUUUACACUGCUGGUGCAGCAUGAACAGAACCAAAUAAAUUGUAUUUACUUUU